RNAcentral lists this ribosomal RNA (253 nucleotides) under uncultured bacterium. Its description in RNAcentral is "partial 16S ribosomal RNA". It matches the Rfam family "Bacterial small subunit ribosomal RNA", at positions 524 to 776 of the family's 1533-position model. The record is from RNAcentral.
UACGGGGGGGGCAAGCGUUGUUCGGAAUUACUGGGCGUAAAGGGUUCGUAGGUGGCCAACUAAGUCAUACGUGAAAUCCCUCAGCUUAACUGGGGAACUGCGUCUGAUACUGGUUGGCUUGAGUGCAGGAGAGGAACGCGGAAUUCCAGGUGUAGCGGUGAAAUGCGUAGAUAUCUGGAGGAACACCGGUGGCGAAGGCGGCGUUCUGGACUGCAACUGACACUGAGGAACGAAAGUGUGGGGAUCAAACAGG